RNAcentral lists this ribosomal RNA (181 nucleotides) under uncultured Cortinarius. RNAcentral describes it as "partial 28S ribosomal RNA". It matches the Rfam family "Eukaryotic large subunit ribosomal RNA", at positions 1 to 176 of the family's 3401-position model. Lineage: Eukaryota; Fungi; Basidiomycota; Agaricomycetes; Agaricales; Cortinariaceae. The record is from RNAcentral.
UGUGACCUCAAAUCAGGUAGGACUACCCGCUGAACUUAAGCAUAUCAAUAAGCGGAGGAAAAGAAACUAACAAGGAUUCCCCUAGUAACUGCGAGUGAAGCGGGAAAAGCUCAAAUUUAAAAUCUGGCGGUCUUNUGGCUGUCCGAGUUGUAAUCUANAGAAGUGUUAUCCGCGCUGGACG